GAUGGACGCUGGCGGCGUGCCUAAUACAUGCAAGUCGAACGCUUCACUUCGGUGAAGAGUGGCGAACGGGUGAGUAAUACAUAAGUAACCUGGCAUCUACAGGGGGAUAACUGAUGGAAACGUCAGCUAAGACCGCAUAGGUGUAGAGAUCGCAUGAACUCUAUAUGAAAAGUGCUACGGGACUGGUAGAUGAUGGACUUAUGGCGCAUUAGCUGGUUGGUAGGGUAACGGCCUACAAAGGCGACGAUGCGUAGCCGACCUGAGAGGGUGACCGGCCAGACUGGGACGGAGACACGGCCCAGAGUCCUACGGGAGGAAGCAGUAGGGAAUUUUCGGCAAUGGGGGGAAGCCUGACCGAGCAACGCCGCGUGAAGGAAGAAGUAAUUCGUUAUGUAAACUUCUGUCAUAGAGGAAGAACGAUGGAUAUAGGGAAUGAUAUCCAAGUGACGGUACUCUAUAAGAAAGCCACGGCUAACUACGUGCCAGCCGCCGCGGUAA
This 498-nucleotide ribosomal RNA is filed under the name uncultured bacterium. Its description in RNAcentral is "partial 16S ribosomal RNA". It matches the Rfam family "Bacterial small subunit ribosomal RNA", at positions 28 to 523 of the family's 1533-position model. The record is from RNAcentral.